CCUACGGGAGGCAGCAGUAAGGAAUAUUGGUCAAUGGACGCAAGUCUGAACCAGCCAUGCCGCGUGAAGGAUGAAUGCCCUCUGGGUUGUAAACUUCUUUUAUAGGGGACGAAAAAGGGUCUUUUUAGAUCAACUGACGGUACCCUAGGAAUAAGCACCGGCUAACUCCGUGCCAGCAGCCGCGGUAAUACGGAGGGUGCAAGCGUUAUCCGGAUUUACUGGGUUUAAAGGGUGCGUAGGUGGGUUGGUAAGUCAGCGGUGAAAUCUUCGAGCUUAACUCGGAAACUGCCAUUGAUACUAUCAGCCUUGAAUAUCCUGGAGGUGAGCGGAAUAUGUCAUGUAGCGGUGAAAUGCUUAGAUAUGACAUAGAACACCAAUUGCGAAGGCAGCUCACUACGGGAUUAUUGACACUGAGGCACGAAAGCGUGGGGAUCAAACAGGAUUAGAUACCCUGGUAGUCCACGCCCUAAACGAUGGAUACUCGACAUUUGCGAUAUACAGUAAGUGUCUGAGCGAAAGCAUUAAGUAUCCCACCUGGAAGUACGAUCGCAGAUUGAAACCUNAAUGAUAGAGNGNGAGAGNGCGAGGACGACGACGAGGGAGGAGG
RNAcentral lists this ribosomal RNA (607 nucleotides) under uncultured bacterium. Its description in RNAcentral is "bacterial SSU rRNA". It matches the Rfam family "Bacterial small subunit ribosomal RNA", at positions 338 to 947 of the family's 1533-position model. The record is from RNAcentral.